RNAcentral lists this ribosomal RNA (464 nucleotides) under uncultured bacterium. RNAcentral describes it as "partial 16S ribosomal RNA". It matches the Rfam family "Bacterial small subunit ribosomal RNA", at positions 29 to 507 of the family's 1533-position model. The record is from RNAcentral.
ACGCACGCUGGCGGCGUGCUUCACCCAUGCCAGUCGAACGGAAAGGCCCUGCUUGCCGGGUACUCGAGUGGCGAACGGGUGAGUAACACGUGGGUGAUCUGCCCUGCACUUCGGGAUAAGCCUGGGAAACUGGGUCUAAUACCGGAUAGGAGCCAUUUUUAGUGUGAUGGUUGGAAAGUUUUUUCGGUGUAGGAUGAGCUCGCGGCCUAUCAGCUUGUUGGUGGGGUAAUGGCCUACCAAGGCGGCGACGGGUAGCCGGCCUGAGAGGGUGGACGGCCACAUUGGGACUGAGAUACGGCCCAGACUCCUACGGGAGGCAGCAGUGGGGAAUAUUGCACAAUGGGCGCAAGCCUGAUGCAGCGACGCCGCGUGGGGGAUGACGGCCUUCGGGUUGUAAACGCCUUUCGCUAGGGACGAAGCUUUUUGUGACGGUACCUAGAGAAGAAGCACCGGCUAACUACGUG